GACGAACGCUGGCGGCGUGCUUAACACAUGCAAGUCGAACGGAAAGGCCCUGCUUGCAGGGUACUCGAGUGGCGAACGGGUGAGUAACACGUGGGUGAUCUGCCCUGCACUUCGGGAUAAGCCUGGGAAACUGGGUCUAAUACCGGACAGGAGCCAUUUUUAGUGUGAUGGUUGGAAAGUUUUUUCGGUGUAGGAUGAGCUCGCGACCUAUCGGCUUGUUGGUGGGGUAAUGGCCUACCAAGGCGGCGACGGGUAGCCGGCCUGAGAGGGUGGACGGCCACAUUGGGACUGACAGACGGCCCAGACUCCGACGGGAGGCAGCAGGGGGGAAGCUUGCACAAUGGGCGCCAGCCUGAUGCAGCGACGCCGCGUGGGGGAUGACGGCCUUCGGGUUGUAAACCCCUUUCGCUAGGGACGAAGCUUUUUGUGACGGUACCUAGAUAAGAAGCACCGGCUAACUACGUG
Molecule: ribosomal RNA, 465 nt
Filed under: uncultured bacterium
Lineage: Bacteria
Description: partial 16S ribosomal RNA
Rfam family: Bacterial small subunit ribosomal RNA
Source: RNAcentral